CGGACAAGAAAGGGUUUGCUGAGAGCAAUCCUAAGCUACACUAACAGUAGGAAUAAUUGCGGAAAAAUAAACCACAUAGAGAGCUGGAAAAUAAAUCAAGUAUGAGCACAUCUGCCACACAGGGCCAAGUAGUGCCACACAGGGCCUCCACGCCACACAGGGCCAACUCAAUGCCACACAGGGCUCCCAACCUCCACAGGAAUAAAC
RNAcentral lists this long non-coding RNA (207 nucleotides) under Erythranthe guttata (spotted monkey flower). RNAcentral's name for it is "long non-coding RNA (EGUT_LNC000427)". Lineage: Eukaryota; Viridiplantae; Streptophyta; Magnoliopsida; Lamiales; Phrymaceae. The record is from RNAcentral.